Molecule: ribosomal RNA, 495 nt
Filed under: uncultured bacterium
Lineage: Bacteria
Description: partial 16S ribosomal RNA
Rfam family: Bacterial small subunit ribosomal RNA
Source: RNAcentral
GACGAACGCUGGCGGCGUGCCUAAUACAUGCAAGUAGAACGCUGAAGGAGGAGCUUGCUUCUCUGGAUGAGUUGCGAACGGGUGAGUAACGCGUAGGUAACCUGCCUGGUAGCGGGGGAUAACUAUUGGAAACGAUAGCUAAUACCGCAUAAUAGUAGAUGUUGCAUGACAUUUGCUUAAAAGGUGCAAUUGCAUCACUACCAGAUGGACCUGCGUUGUAUUAGCUAGUUGGUGGGGUAACGGCUCACCAAGGCGACGAUUCAUAGCCGACCUGAGAGGGUGAUCGGCCACACUGGGACUGAGACACGGCCCAGACUCCUACGGGAGGCAGCAGUAGGGAAUCUUCGGCAAUGGACGGAAGUCUGACCGAGCAACGCCGCGUGAGUGAAGAAGGUUUUCGGAUCGUAAAGCUCUGUUGUAAGAGAAGAACGAGUGUGAGAGUGGAAAGUUCACACUGAGACGGUAUCUUACCAGAAAGGGACGGCUAACUACGUG